CCAAGAACUAAAGGUAAGUUUUAUAUCAAGAAUUUAAAUUAAUAUUAUUUUCCCCAUAUUUGGUCGGGAAUAAGUGAAUUAUUUUUUUUUUCUAUAUAUGAAACGUCAAGUGAGGAUAACUAAUCCUUUUUUAAUGUCUUGUCCGAUAACAAAAAUACUUACCACUAUCCUCACUUUAUUCUUUCUUACCAAAAUGAGAGAUCAAAUUAACAAAUGGUUGCUUACCAAGUAGACGGAGUCUCGAGCCGCAAGCGCAACGACAUCGGCGCAAGAGACGACCUGUCCACACGCCUUGUCGAUGAGUGCUCGGAGGUCGUUGAUGGCCUUGAAAGCUGCCGGCCGGAGUGUUAGGUUCGGCGGCGCCUGCUGUUCGCCUGGUCCGCUCGCCGAGCCAUCCAACAAUACAGACCCAUCACACCCCUGCACAUAUAUAUCAACUUACCCGAUCGGGUUAGUAUGGAUAACUACUUUUUCUUUUUAGAGGGAGAAAGAUAUAUAGCAAACUAUGUAUUUGCUUCGUUCAUUUAUUUUAUAAAUAAGCUCAACUAAAUACGAAACAACUAUGUUUCAAACUUGCUAUCUCAUAUAACAACCAUAAAGCCCUUAAUUAGUAUGAAUAAGUUAUGUUUGCAAUUAGAAUAUAUAGUUGUACAUAUACGUACGUAGGCACGUAGUAGGGUAUUUCACGGGUAAAAAUGUACUGAGAUCGUCACAACUAACUACUAUUUUGACGUAAAGCACUGAAUCAUCAUUUUUUUAAAAAUAUUUUGAUACUUCUUCAACUUUUACAUAUUUUGGUCUAAGUUGUUCCAGUCACUUAACUUGUGAAUUCCCUUAAAUUUAGCUGUAUAAAUUUUAAUAACAAAAAUUUAUAGUUUUUUUUAGAGUACGUACUUCAGCUAAAACGCAGCUGAUAGAGUCAUUAAAUUUGAUAAAAGUUGCGCAUACACACUUUUACUUAUUUUUGCUCACCUGAACGAAGCAGUCGUGGAAGUGGAGGCGGAGGAGGCCUGCGGCGAGGCCGAUGUUGUUCUUGAACGAGUUCUUGAGGAAGUCCCUCACAAUGGAGUCCAAGUUGGGGCAUUUGGACUUGUAGAAGCUGAAGGAGAGGCCAUUCACUAAGGGAGGAUAAUCAAACUCAUCAGCCCUAGUUGGAGAGCAGAGAGAGGAGAUACAAAUGGCUAAUAGGAGGAGGAGAGACAUGGUAGAAAGAGAGGAAGAAGCAGAAGCAGAAGCCAUUUUUUGGUAUCUUUGAGGGGAUGAUCAAAACUAAGUAGAGAUGUGGAGGGGGCGAUGAGGAAACUGGAUGAGGUAUCGGUGAAUUUAUAGGCAUUAAUUAAGAGCAUGGACUGUGGACAGCACGUGGCUGCAGCACUGUCACAGCUUGAAGCUUUGAAUAUGGAAACAUGCAUGUAUCGACCAUUUAUUUAUUUAUUUAUUUGUUUAGGGGUAAAUUUUAUUUACAUGAGUUCUCCGUUUAAUACCAAAUAUUUUAUUUUUAGAGUUAAACUCUACUUAAAUUUAUUAAUUUAAAAAAAAUGAAGAAGUUUUAAUGUAUAGGACAUACAACUAUAUAUAUAUAUAUAGAGAGAGAGAGAGAGAGAGAGAGAGAGAGUUGAGCUAGAAUACUAUCGGUAGCAAACGAGUUCCGUUGCCAACCAUUUGUUUUUGAUGAUGGAGCCCCCAAAUCGACGAUCGGUAUCGUUGAACAUGAUCUAUACCACUUGAAAUGUUUAAAAAUCAAAUUUCAUACAUUUUCAAUAUUAUUCUCUUAUCCAUUAAGUGGACACAAAAAUGAACGGCUGAAAAUGAAUAUUCUUUAAAAAAUGAUGAUAGGAGUCUUAUAGUCAAAAUCAAGGGUACAGAUCUUGUUUUAAAUAGUUUAAAGAAUUUUCUAAUAAAAACUCAAUUGAUUUGAAAAUCUUUACACCGUUAAACGAAAAAAAGCCUCAUAUCGACCAUUAAAAUUACAAAUUUUGAAACUCUUUGAUCAUUAGGCAAAUAAUGUCGAAAAGAUUUGAAAUUUGAUUUAUAAACACUUCAAGUCGUAUAGAUCUUGUUUAACGGUGUCGAUCGUCGAUUUGGAGGCUCUAUCAUCGAAAAUAAAUGGGUGGCAACGAAGCCCGUUUGCUAUCGAUCACCUACUUAAUGUUAAAGGAUUACUAUCAUUCUAGCCACGCAUGUCUUAAUCCAAAGAUCGAAAAUCUAUAUAGUAGAUCAAUUAUAUAUAUAUAUAUAUAUAGAGAGAGAGAGAGAGAGAGAGAGAGAGAGAUGAGUUAGAAUACUCUCAAAAGCACCAAGAGUUUGGUGCUUUUGAGUUUUUAACCCUUCGAUGGAGAAAUGUAAGGUUGAAAUGAUGGUGGUCAGUGGUGGUAAGUAAAAUAGUAUUUAAUCUAAGGACUAUUAGUAAUUAAGGAGUAAAUUCAAUGGUUAAAAACCUAAUAGCACCAAGGGGUGAUGCUUCUAAAAAUAUUCUAGCUCAAUUUUAUAUAUAUAUAUAUAUAUGAGUCCGGCUAUGGUACUUGUAAAAGUACCAAGCACUUGGUGCUUGUAAAUUUUUUACCGUUAGAUCUCUGCCUUUGAUCAUUUUUACCCAUUAGAUUAUACUAUUCAGCUAACCACCCACUCAACCCUAAGGGCCCACAUCAUCCUAACCGCACAUCCUUAAAUCCAAGAGCCGAAAACUUACAAGCACCAAUGACUUGGUACUUUUAAAAGUAUAGGAGCUCAAUUCUAUAUAUAUAUAGAGAGAGAGAGUGAGGCUACUAUACUUCUGGAAGCACGGAGCCUUUCGUGCUUUUAAGUCGUUUUCGAUGUUGCGACUUUCGAAUCGUCGAUCGGCUCCGUUAAACUUGAUCUAGAGUAUUUGAACUACUUAGAAAAUAAAUUUUAUGAUUUUUCGAUAUCAUUUGCCUAGUGAUCGAAAGGACUCAAAAUCAAUAAUUUUAACGGUCAUGGUGAGCCGUUUGCAAGUUUAAGGAUGUAGAAAUAUCCAAAUCACGUGAAAUUUUGAUAGAAAAUUUUUUAUACUAUAUAAAACAGAUCAAUAUCUUUGAUCUAAAAUUUUAUAUAUAUAUCACUCCGAUGAUACAAAGACCUUUAUGCCUCGGAAGGCACGAAGAUUCAGUAAAAGCUACAACGCUGAAACCUUAGCAGCUAGCCGAGGCAAUUUGAACUAGAUCUCAUAAACUUCAUGGAUCUUUUAUUUAAAACGUUAAAAAGCUAUAGUAAACGGAUCACUUGAUUCCCCGAGUUUUAGUUGCCGACUUUUAUUUUUAGAAUGUUUUGCACUAUUAUACUAUAAUNUAUAUAUAUAUAUAUAUAUAUAGGGGGAGAGAGAGAGAGUCCGGCAACUAUACUAUGAUGACUACGAUCGCCUUUGUACUCAUAAGUCAUUUUCGAUGAUAGAGCUUCCAAAUCGAUAAUCCAUACCACUAAACAUGAUUUAGAGCAUUUGAAACUUCUAGAAACCAAAUUUCUUAAUUUUUCGACAUUAUUUACCUUACGAUCAAAAGAUCUCAUAAUUGACAGUUUUUAAUAGAAGGUAUGGGAUGCUUGUUCAUUUAACAGGAUAAAAGAAUCGUAAUCGAUUGAAUUUUUUAUAGAAAAUUCUAUGGACUAUCUAGAAGAAGAUCAAUAACUCCUAUCUUUUUUAGUUUCUAGGUGCUUCAAAUGUUCUAGAUCAUGUUUAACAGUAUGGAUCGUCGAUCGGGAUCUCUAUGAUCGAAAACGACUUAUAAAUAUGGAAAUCUCUGUACUCAUAAGAGUAUAAUAGGGCUAUAACACUCUUAUGAGUACGGAGGCCUACGUACUCAUAAAGUUAUUUUCGAUGAUAGAGAUUCCGAAUUGAAGAUCCAUACCAUUAAACAUGAUCUAGAGCAUUUGAAGUAUCUAGAAACCGAAUUUUAUAAUUUUUUGAAUUUAUAAUAAAGUCUAUCAAGCGGCUAUAAAUUAACGGUCAAAAUUGAACGAUCUCCUAAAAACAGGGAUAGGGUUCUUAAAUUCAAGAUCAGAGUUAUUGAUCUUGAUUUAUAUAGUGAAUAGAAUUUUCUAUCAAAAAUUCAACCAAUUUCGAUUCUUCUACACCGUUAACUAGGAAACGUCCCAUACUGACCGUUAAAAAUGUGAAUUUUACAUUUUUAAGGCCCUUUGAUCGUAAGGUAUAUAAUGUCAAAAAAUUAUAAAAUUCAAUUUCUAAAAUGUUUAAAUGCACUAAAUUAUAUUUAACGAUAUGGAUCGUCGAUUCAGAAGCUUCAACAUCGAAAAUGAUUUAUGAGUACGAAGGCGAUCGUACACAUAAUAGUAUAGUUGCCGCACUCAUAUAUAUAUAUAUAUAUAUAUAUAUAUAUAUAUAUAUAUAUAUGAGAGAGAGAGAGAGAGAGAGAGAGAGAGUGGGUGAGUGGUCCGUGAGAACUAGACUUUCUUGUGGACCACGUAUUUCCGAGCGGCUUGUGAGCGGCGAUUUUUUAGAGAAAGUUUUCGUUUUUCGCUGACUAUGGGCAGAGAACGAAAACUUUACUUUUUCAGAGAAUCCAAUAAAUUUUUUUACGAGCAAUCAAACAAUGAAAGAUCACUUUUCAGACAUUUUUUUUUUUUUUUUCAGAAUAGUUUUAUGGGAACCAAAUACCCCCUAAACUUCAACAUCAAAUAAAGCUGUCAUAUCUCAUAUGGCGGCCAUUUAUCAAAGUUUGCAAAGCAAAACAAAAGCACCAGCUUUCACUCUUUUCUCACGGAAAAAGACAAAGGUUUGCCAACUAAAUUCCUUGAUUCAUUGAAUUUGUUUAUCACUUUAUCCCCCUUACUUAACAUAUAUAAAUAUAUAUAUAAUAUUAAUUCAAGCGCUAGAAUUAAUUAAAGAGUUGAUUCAAGGGUUAAAAGUGAAAGCACAACAUGAGUUAUGCUUCUCCAAGCACCAUAUUCAUCUCUCCUCUCUCUCUCUCUCUCUCUCUAUAUAUAUAUAUAAUAUUUCCAAUGUUAAAGAUAAUUAAUAUUUUGUUUAGCAGAAAUGAAAUGAAGGUAAAAGAAUAACAACAAAUCAAUCGACAUUUCUAGAUUAACGAAAGCAAUAGCGCGUUACUUGAACUUUUAACUGACAAUUUUUCACUUUAGAUUAUUCUACAUUAUAUGGUCCUAGUUUUGCCACGUACAUUUAACCCAACCUAACUUUUACGCCCUAGAGAGAAAAAAAAUUCGUAAGUGUCCUUGGUUAACUGCAUGAAUUCCGCUAGAUUUAACUAUAAGUUCUACUUAACCUUGUUGUAUGUCUUUUUUCUUUUCUUUUUUUGAGAAUUCUUGUUGUAUGUCUUAAAAGUACAUCAAUUAAUUACAAUGAUCUAAUUUGAAGUUUUUGUAUUAGCGUGUGAUUUCGAGAUUGCACAUUUGUUUGUUUUGCACUGAUCACUUCUUUGUGCUCAUGCGACCGUGUGAUUGCACGUAAUAAAGCAAAGGUGAAACAGGUAUAACCUAAUAAUAGAAUUACCGACCGUCCCUAGAGUAAGUGGCAAAGGGCUUAAUGGUUGGUACUCGAGGUCCCAAGUUCGAAUCCUAGUUGAUUCAUAUUUCCAGCUAAGUUUAUUUCUAAAUGAAAUAAAUGAAGCGGGUAACGUGCUACCAAUCUCUCUCAAAAAAAAAAUAAUAGAAUUGAAUAUAGAGGCACAAAAGCAUAUUUAGGACUUACUGAUGAGAGGUGAAAUAAUAUUAAUCUAAAAAUUAAAAAGUGAUUAUAAAUAUCAUUCACUUAUUUAUUUAUUAUUUAAUAUUACAGCCAAACUCAACAUACUAACCUUACAUUAACAAACAUGGGGAGCUAUAUAUAUAUAUANUACUACCAUAAGGAAUGAAUAGCAGGAUAUAUGUAUGGGUGUAUGUUAACACUAUGUGUAUAUAUAUAUAUAUAUAUAUAUAUAUAUAUAUAUAUAUAUAUAUAUAUAUAUAUAUAUAUAUAUAUGCAAGAGAUCGUGCAACCUCUCUUAGUUACACCUCCACACGUGUUUUAUUAAUUACUGCACGCGAAGCCACCAUUAGCUUAAAAACCCAAAAGAGCAAACCGGCCCACACACAACUACAGCUUCACUAUCAGUUAAGCAACCAACAUGCACCAUGUUAAACCCCCUGGAAAUUAGAAAACCCUAGCACUCUCUCCCUCCUCCCCUCCCACCACCGACCACAAGAACUUGUUAUCGCCGUUCCGCGCGGAGCAAUUCGCCCUUAUCUCUCCCUCCCCACCCGUCAACACGCUCAGCUGCCCCAUCUUCACGAUCGAGAACACGAACUUCUCGAAAAAGAGCGGCUGGCUCACCGCGAACCUCGUCACGGUGCUCUUCGUCCGCUGGUCGGUGAACAAGUCCUGGUCGGACGUGAACAGCCCCUUACGGUUGAGCAGAUCAACGUAGUACUUGUUGUCGAACUUGUUCGGCGUGCAGAUGUCGUUGACGGUGGUGUUGACGGUGUUGGACGCGGGGCAGGUGAGUUUGAGGUUCUUGGCGAAGGUUUUGUCCAUGACGGGGUCUUGGGUGGGGUAGAGGCGGUUGGUGAAGGACGUGCAGUGCGCGAGGCCGAUGGUGUGGCCGCCGGAGAGGGAGACGAGGUCGGUGGCGUCGAGGUUGAUCUUCGAGAACACCGAAAGCAGCUUCGUCACGUUCGACGUCGGCGCCGGGAGGCUGGCCAGCGUCACGUCGCGCGUCGCGAACGUCAGGCCGUCGCGCCGGCCCAGCGGCAACUUGUACUUGGGCCCGCCGGACUGUCAUUGGAUUAAAGAAAGCGUAAAUAUUUAGCGAGCUAAACUAGAAGAACAUCAAAAAUUAAGCUACAUUAAUUAUCGUACAAUUCUAUAAAUAACAUUCCUUGGUCCUUACAUUACAGAAAUUUGUAUAAUAAGCAUCUUAGGCUAUAAACAAUUAUUUUUUCUAGACCGUGUCCGUGUGCAAGCACCAUAUCACUCUGUCGGCAAUUUAUAAAAUAUAAUAAUAAUAAUGAUAUUCAUGGGAGUUGACGCAACGCAACUUGACUAUCACUUUAAUACUUAAUUUGAGGAAUUCGGUCAAAAUAUAUGUUUUUCCUCUCUAGUGGGUUCACAUAAAUAAAUCUCGGUUUAGUUGGAGAAAAUCUUUGUCUUAAAAAGAAACAGAAGAAUUAAUAGUACGCUUUUGGGCCUCAAAUUAAAACUCUCCUAAUUUUUCUCCUCGUAGUAAAGACUUUUCUUGCUUUACCAAAUAUAAAACUUGAUCAGAAUAAAUAGUCUAAACAACUAUUUAAUUACUAGAAUAUAUAUCUCAUGUAAAUUUAUUAUCCAAGAAUUAAAGUUAAGUUUUAUAUCAGGAAUUUAAGUGUUAUUUUCCCUAUAUUUGGUCAGGAAUAAGUGAUUUUUUUUUUCUCUAUAUAUGAAAUUUCAAGUGAGGAUAACUAAUCCUUUUUGUAUGUCUUGUACGAUAACAAAAAUACUUACCACUAUCCUCACUUUAUUCUUUCCGACCAAAAUGAGAGAUAAAAUUAACAAACGGUUACUUACCAAGAAGACAGAGUCUCUAGCCGCAAGCGCAACGACAUCGGCGCAAGAGACGACCUGUCCGCACGCCUUGUCGAGGAGCGCUCGGAGGUCGUUGAUGGCCUUGAAAGCCGCCGGCCGGAGCGUUAGGUUUGGCGGCGCCUGCUGCUCGCCUGGUCCGCUCGCCGAGCCAUCCAACAAUAUAGACCCAUCACACCCCUGCAC
This 7708-nucleotide long non-coding RNA is filed under the name Ananas comosus (pineapple). RNAcentral's name for it is "long non-coding RNA (ACOM_LNC025146)". Lineage: Eukaryota; Viridiplantae; Streptophyta; Magnoliopsida; Poales; Bromeliaceae. The record is from RNAcentral.